GUGGAUCUUUACUGACUUGGCUCGGGACCAGCACUCCUGUUGUUGGACAGAAAGACAUCAACUCAGUGACUUGAGAUAUGACUGCACUGUGCUGUUGCUGUGACUCCAGUUAAUUCUGCAAGACAUGCUGUGACACCAGGAGAGAUGAGUCCCCCGUCACAGAUGGUGUGGUCAGUGAAGAUGGUCGCCUGCAGGUUCAAGCUCAUUGCAUCUCCAACCCACAUCCACUGCCACUGUACUUAAGGGAAGUUAAAGACUUUCUUCUGCACUUACAUUUGGAUCACCUCGAUCCAUGAUAGUCAUUCAGGCAGUAAUACCUGGACUGGAAACAAGCCAUCCUUAAAAUAUUACAACAUUCCAGCUCCUGUGUUGGAAUGAAAAACGAAUGUGUUGUUUAAAUUAGAGACUGCACUUGUGACAGAACAAUAAAUAUUUUAUGUUGAUUAUAUAAAUAGUGUAAGUACAAAACAAACUUGUG
This is a long non-coding RNA of Pelmatolapia mariae (spotted tilapia), 478 nucleotides long. RefSeq lists it as uncharacterized. Lineage: Eukaryota; Metazoa; Chordata; Actinopteri; Cichliformes; Cichlidae. The record is from RefSeq and is a predicted model, not a curated record. The transcript is spliced from 4 exons.